AGAGUUUGAUCCUGGCUCAGAUUGAACGCUGGCGGCAUGCUUUACACAUGCAAGUCGAACGGCAGCACGGGCUUCGGCCUGGUGGCGAGUGGCGAACGGGUGAGUAAUGCGUCGGAACGUGCCCAGUCAUGGGGGAUAACUACGCGAAAGCGUAGCUAAUACCGCAUACGCCCUGAGGGGGAAAGCGGGGGAUCGCAAGACCUCGCGUGAUUGGAGCGGCCGAUGUCGGAUUAGCUAGUUGGUGGGGUAAAGGCCUACCAAGGCGACGAUCCGUAGCGGGUCUGAGAGGAUGAUCCGCCACACUGGGACUGAGACACGGCCCAGACUCCUACGGGAGGCAGCAGUGGGGAAUUUUGGACAAUGGGGGCAACCCUGAUCCAGCCAUGCCGCGUGAGUGAAGAAGGCCUUCGGGUUCUAAAGCUCUUUCAGACGGAAAGAAAUCGGGCGGGU
This 450-nucleotide ribosomal RNA is filed under the name uncultured bacterium. RNAcentral's name for it is "bacterial SSU rRNA". It matches the Rfam family "Bacterial small subunit ribosomal RNA", at positions 8 to 460 of the family's 1533-position model. The record is from RNAcentral.